This 1554-nucleotide ribosomal RNA is filed under the name metagenome. Its description in RNAcentral is "bacterial LSU rRNA". It matches the Rfam family "Bacterial large subunit ribosomal RNA", at positions 1379 to 2925 of the family's 2925-position model. The record is from RNAcentral.
GUGAGUCGGCUCCUAAGGCGAGGCAGAAAUGCGUAGUCGAUGGGAAACAGGUCAAUAUUCCUGUACCGAUUCUAGAUGCGAUGUGGGGACGGAGAAGGUUAGGUCAGCCGGGUGUUGGACGUCCCGGUUUAAGCGUGUAGGCGUGCCCCUUAGGCAAAUCCGGGAGGCUGAGCUGAGGCGUGAUGACGAGGAACCACGGUUCCGAAGUGAUUGAUACCAAGCUUCCAGGAAAAGCCACUAAGCUUCAGUCUAGAGUUGACCGUACCGCAAACCGACACAGGUGGGCAGGAUGAAAAUUCUAAGGCGCUUGAGAGAACUCAGGAGAAGGAACUCGGCAAAUUAACACCGUAACUUCGGGAGAAGGUGUGCCCCGGUAGCGUGUAGAGACUUGCUCUCGAAGCGCGAUGGGGUUGCAGUGAAAUGGUGGCUGCGACUGUUUAAUAAAAACACAGCACUCUGCAAACACGAAAGUGGACGUAUAGGGUGUGACGCCUGCCCGGUGCCGGAAGGUUAAGUGAUGGGGUGCAAGCUCUUGAUCGAAGCCCCGGUAAACGGCGGCCGUAACAAUAACGGUCCUAAGGUAGCGAAAUUCCUUGUCGGGUAAGUUCCGACCUGCACGAAUGGCGUAACGAUGGCCACACUGUCUCCUCCUGGGACUCAGCGAAGUUGAAAUGUUUGUGAAGAUGCAAUCUACCCGCGGCUAGACGGAAAGACCCCAUGAACCUUUACUGUAGCUUUGCAUUGGACUUUGAACCGGUUUGUGUAGGAUAGGUGGGAGACUGUGAAGCCGGGACGCUAGUUUCGGUGGAGUCAACCUUGAAAUACCACCCUGAUUUGUUUGAGGUUCUAACCUUGGUCCGUGAAUCCGGAUCGGGGACCGUGCAUGGUAGGCAGUUUGACUGGGGCGGUCUCCUCCCAAAAGGUAACGGAGGAGUACGAAGGUACGCUUAGGGCGGUCGGACAUCGCCCACAAAGUGCAAUGGCAAAAGCGUGCUUGACUGCGAGACCCACAAGUCGAGCAGGUACGAAAGUAGGUCAUAGUGAUCCGGUGGUUCUGUAUGGAAGGGCCAUCGCUCAACGGAUAAAAGGUACUCUGGGGAUAACAGGCUAAUUCCUCCCAAGAGUUCAUAUCGACGGGGGAGUUUGGCACCUCGAUGUCGGCUCAUCACAUCCUGGGGCUGUAGUCGGUCCCAAGGGUAUGGCUGUUCGCCAUUUAAAGUGGUACGCGAGCUGGGUUUAAAACGUCGUGAGACAGUUUGGUCCCUAUCUGCCGUGGGCGCUGGAAAUUUGAAGGGGGCUGCUCCUAGUACGAGAGGACCGGAGUGGACGAACCUCUGGUGUACCGGUUAUGACGCCACUCGUAUCGCCGGGUAGCUAAGUUCGGAAGAGAUAAACGCUGAAAGCAUCUAAGCGUGAAACUCGCCUUAAGAUAAGAUUUCCCGGAGUCUUGAACUCCCUGAAGGGUCGUCGAAGACCACGACGUUGAUAGGUCAGGUGUGGAAGCGCAGCAAUGCGUUAAGCUAACUGAUACUAAUUGCCCGUGCGGCUUGAUAC